This 497-nucleotide ribosomal RNA is filed under the name uncultured bacterium. RNAcentral's name for it is "partial 16S ribosomal RNA". It matches the Rfam family "Bacterial small subunit ribosomal RNA", at positions 28 to 507 of the family's 1533-position model. The record is from RNAcentral.
GAUGAACGCUGGCGGCGUGCCUAAUACAUGCAAGUCGAGCGAACAGACGAGGUGCUUGCUCCUCUGACGUUAGCGGCGGACGGGUGAGUAACACGUGGAUAACCUACCUAUAAGACUGGGAUAACUUCGGGAAACCGGAGCUAAUACCGGAUAAUAUAUUGAACCGCAUGGUUCAAUAGUGAAAGACGGUUUUGCUGUCACUUAUAGAUGGAUCCGCGCCGCAUUAGCUAGUUGGUAAGGUAACGGCUUACCAAGGCAACGAUGCGUAGCCGACCUGAGAGGGUGAUCGGCCACACUGGAACUGAGACACGGUCCAGACUCCUACGGGAGGCGGCAGUAGGGAAUCUUCCGCAAUGGGCGAAAGCUUGACGGAGCAACGCCGCGUGAGUGAUGAAGGUCUUCGGAUCGUAAAACUCUGUUAUUAGGGAAGAACAAAUGUGUAAGUAACUAUGCACGUCUUGACGGUACCUAAUCAGAAAGCCACGGCUAACUACGUG